Molecule: ribosomal RNA, 500 nt
Filed under: uncultured bacterium
Lineage: Bacteria
Description: SSU rRNA
Rfam family: Bacterial small subunit ribosomal RNA
Source: RNAcentral
AGGAUGAACGCUAGCGGCAGGCUUAAUACAUGCAAGUCGUGGGGCAGCACAGGUAGCAAUACUGGGUGGCGACCGGCAAACGGGUGCGGAACACGUACGCAACCUUCCUUUAAGCGGGGGAUAGCCCAGGGAAACUUGGAUUAAUACCCCGUACGAUUAUGGUGUGGCAUCACACUAUAAUGAAAGCUCCGGCACUUAAAGAUGGGCGUGCGGCUGAUUAGGUAGUUGGCGGGGUAACGGCCCACCAAGCCAACGAUCAGUAACUGGUGUGAGAGCACGACCAGUCACACGGGCACUGAGACACGGGCCCGACUCCUACGGGAGGCAGCAGUAAGGAAUAUUGGUCAAUGGACGCAAGUCUGAACCAGCCAUGCCGCGUGGAGGAUGAAGGCCCUCUGGGUUGUAAACUUCUUUUAUUGGGGAAGAAACCACUCUUUUCUAAGGGUGUUGACGGUACCCAUUGAAUAAGCACCGGCUAACUCCGUGCCAGCAGCCGCGGU